GCUCUCAAUUUAACUUAAAGAAAAAAUGACAAUAUAUAUAUACUCAAAUGAUCAAGCUAUCUACGUUGCGAAAAUAAUUUUAACUAUGCAAAACGCAUUUUUGUUUCGAAACCGGGGAACCAGCGCACGGUAACGAGAGUAUGUUUACAAACGUCCCGGCGCCAUGUUGUAACGGUUCACCAUGCAUUUUUUUCCUUGCGUUCUAAGUUUUGAUGACGCCUUUCCCCGCUGUUAUCUUCGUCGUCGCACCUACAGCCCUCAGAGAUCGCAGUUCGGACGGCAGCGAUGCUGAAGAUCCCGAAUUUGUCUUCAGAGUGAGUCUCACAUUGCCUGUGAAGACAAGACGGCCUCAGACGACGACGAGAGUGACCAUGAGAACGUGCUUCUGAAGACUUCAGAUAAAGUAGGUCGACUCUUUUCACAAGAGGUAGAAAAAGUUUGCGGGGAAACGCAUAGGAAUACUGCCACUGAAUGUCAAUAUGGUAGUGUUUAUAAUAUUCCUUUGGCAUCUGGGUUUUCAUACAUAGUUUAAACUGGAUGUUAUGUUAAUGAGCAAAUCAUGGAGCACAAAAGGUGUGUUCUCCUGUAAUCCCCAAAUUCAGAAACUGUAGUACAUUUACAAGUUUGCAACAGUUGUCAUCCGAAUUGGAUGGCCACCAUGGUGAUAAGCCAAGCGAGAUCAGUUCAAACACGUGGUAGAAGAAACUCUUAGUAUUGGUUCUGCUGGAAAUUGUGUAAGUGUCUCGUCGAUGGUGAUUCACAAGCAAGCACAAACUUUUUGACCAAUGCAAUUUUUUUUUUUUUUUUUUGUCAGUUGCUUGACCUUGGCACAUAUGGAAGCGUCGAGUGCAUUUCUUUUGUUUGCUCUUGCUGACAGUCUGGGUGUGUGACUUGGUGUGAGGGUUCUUGGCGUUGACUGUGGUGUACCGUUAUAAAAGGGUGUGGUUUUAGAAUAAACCUUCAGCUGUGUUCGA
Long non-coding RNA from Ixodes scapularis (black-legged tick), 974 nucleotides. RefSeq lists it as uncharacterized. Lineage: Eukaryota; Metazoa; Arthropoda; Arachnida; Ixodida; Ixodidae. The transcript has 2 exons. The record is from RefSeq and is a predicted model, not a curated record.